GGCCCUUUGGUGCAGUGGAUAGCACAUUGGACUUCUAAUCCAAAGGUCGCGGGUUCGACCCCCGCAAGGGCUC
RNAcentral lists this transfer RNA (73 nucleotides) under Ceratitis capitata (Mediterranean fruit fly). Its description in RNAcentral is "tRNA-Arg". It matches the Rfam family "tRNA". From Rfam's summary of the family: Transfer RNA (tRNA) molecules are approximately 80 nucleotides in length. Their secondary structure includes four short double-helical elements and three loops (D, anti-codon, and T loops). Further hydrogen bonds mediate the characteristic L-shaped molecular structure. tRNAs have two regions of fundamental functional importance: the anti-codon, which is responsible for specific mRNA codon recognition, and the 3' end, to which the tRNAs corresponding amino acid is attached (by aminoacyl-tRNA synthetases). tRNAs cope with the degeneracy of the genetic code in two manners: having more than one tRNA (with a specific anti-codon) for a particular amino acid; and 'wobble' base-pairing, i.e. permitting non-standard base-pairing at the 3rd anti-codon position. The record is from Rfam by way of RNAcentral. Lineage: Eukaryota; Metazoa; Arthropoda; Insecta; Diptera; Tephritidae. RNAcentral also lists the same sequence under 1 other name.